UACGUAGGCAGCGAGCGUUGUUCGGAAUUACUGGGCGUAAAGAGUGUGUAGGCGGUGCUCCCAGUCUGUUGUGAAAUCUCCCGGCUUAACUGGGAGGGUGCAGCGGAAACUAGAGUGCUAGAGGGUGGGAGAGGUAAGCGGAAUUCCUGGUGUAGCGGUGAAAUGCGUAGAUAUCAGGAGGAACACCUGUGGUGUAGACAGCUUACUGGACCACUUCUGACGCUGAGACACGAAAGCGUGGGGGAGCGAACAGG
Molecule: ribosomal RNA, 254 nt
Filed under: uncultured bacterium
Lineage: Bacteria
Description: partial 16S ribosomal RNA
Rfam family: Bacterial small subunit ribosomal RNA
Source: RNAcentral